CACCGAAAAGUUGAACCUUCCUCCCGACAAAUCUAAAUCCCGGCCAUAACCCAGCUCGAAUAACACAAAUAACAGCGCAAACAAGUCGAAGCGGAGGAGCGCCUGCAGCAUAAAAAAAAAAGAAACUCAAAAGACGGGAGAAAAAAAGAAGAAAACAGCAAAAAACACUCAACUCGGAUGCAGCCGCCGCCACAUCGUUAAUGAAGGCAUUUCCUUCCAGCUUGAGAGAGCUGUUAUCAGUACCUAAUUUCUUGGUAGACGUACAGGUGUUCGUAACGGAAUCAUCGCCCGCAGUCUUGAGUCAGUGGUCAAAGUCCCGUUAGCUGGUCAAAAAUCUGAGUGAUAAGCACAGGAGAGGCAUGCAAGUCAUGCGUAGACAUCAAGAAGCCAUUGCACAGCGAUAGCGAUAAGUUCAGGUCUCCAAUACGGGGGGAAUGUGCGGGGGGAGCUGUCUGUGAGGAGGUACUGCAAGUCUAGUGCUUUACAGCCACUGUUUUGGACGAUUACCCCCACAAUCUUUAACUCGAAAUAAUUGCCAACAAUGGCUAAUAGAUGGGUUCUUAUCUGGAAUUUUUCUAUGGAAUGCAACGUGACAAUUUAAAGGGCUUUCACUAUAAAUAGAGCAGUGUUCCCGCAUAUAAAGAAUCAAACAAGGUUGCAUCAUUAUCUUUUCGAUCUUUUCACUUUCGCAGUUUACAGUUGCAGCUGCAGUCUGAGAGAGAGAGAGAGAGAGAGAGCGGGAGAGAGAGGCAGACGUUGAGUGAGUUUGGAGAGCCGGCCGGCGAGAGAGUGCAUCAAGUGCAGCAACUGUAAAGAAAUAGCAACGAAAAAAAAAACACCA
Long non-coding RNA from Drosophila serrata, 841 nucleotides. The record is from RefSeq and is a predicted model, not a curated record. Lineage: Eukaryota; Metazoa; Arthropoda; Insecta; Diptera; Drosophilidae.